RNAcentral lists this ribosomal RNA (484 nucleotides) under uncultured bacterium. Its description in RNAcentral is "partial 16S ribosomal RNA". It matches the Rfam family "Bacterial small subunit ribosomal RNA", at positions 30 to 507 of the family's 1533-position model. The record is from RNAcentral.
AUUGAACGCUGGCGGCAGGCCUAACACAUGCAAGUCGAGCGGAUGAAGGGAGCUUGCUCCUGGAUUCAGCGGCGGACGGGUGAGUAAUGCCUAGGAAUCUGCCUGGUAGUGGGGGAUAACGUCCGGAAACGGGCGCUAAUACCGCAUACCUCCUGAGGGAGAAAGUGGGGGAUCUUCGGACCUCACGCUAUCAGAUUAGCCUAGGUCGGAUUAGCUAGUUGGUGGGGUAAAGGCCUACCAAGGCGACGAUCCGUAACUGGUCUGAGAGGAUGAUCAGUCACACUGGAACUGAGACACGGUCCAGACUCCUACGGGAGGCAGCAGUGGGGAAUAUUGGACAAUGGGCGAAAGCCUGAUCCAGCCACGCCGCGUGUGUGAAGAAGGUCUUCGGAUUGUAAAGCACUUUAAGUUGGGAGGAAGGGCAGUAAGUUAAUACCUUGCUGUUUUGACGUUACCAACAGAAUAAGCACCGGCUAACUUCGUG